ACCAACGUCAGCCAAACUCCGAAUGCCAGUAAGUGAGAACGUAGCAGUGAGACAGUGGGGGAUAAGCUUCAUUGUCGAGAGGGAAACAACCCAGAACAGCAACUAAGGUCCCAAAGCGUGUGCUAAGUGGAAAAGGAUGUGAAGUCGCAUAGACAACCAGGAUGUUGGCUUAGAAGCAGCCACCAUUAAAAGAGUGCGUAAUAGCUCACUGGUCAAGUGAUUUCGCGCCGACAAUGUAACGGGGCUCAAGCACGCCACCGACGUUCUGUCAUUCACACAUCAUCCAGGUCGCAAGAUCCAGGAGUGUGGAUGGGUAGGAGAGCGUCGUGCAACUAGUGAAGCGGUGGAGGAAUCCAACCGUGGAAGUUGCACGAGUGAGAAUGUAGACAUGAGUAGCGAAAGAUGGGUGAGAAACCCGUCCGCCGAAUGACCAAGGGUUCCUGGGCCAGGCUAAUCCGCCCAGGGUAAGUCGGGACCUAAGACGAGGCCGUCAGGCGUAGUCGAUGGACAACUGGUUGAUAUUCCAGUACCCGCUAAGAGCGCCCAGAACGAGCCUGCUAAUGCUAAGUGCCUGAAGUCUUCUUGGGGUAAAACCUAAAGGGGGCGGAGCGCGCGACCCAAGGCAGUAGUAGUUCAGCAAUGGUGUGACACAGGAAGGUAGUUCAGCCCAGGCGAUGGUUGUCCUGGGGUAAGAGUGUAGGAAGUAGCGUAGGUAAAUCCGCGCUACACAUUUCUGAGACUCGAUGCCGAGCCGUAUGGCGAAGUGAAUGAUCCUAUGCUGUCAAGAAAAACAUCUAGCGAGCUCAACAGCGGCCCGUACCCGAAACCGACACAGGUGGUCAGGUAGAGAAUACCAAGGCGAUCGAGAGAAUCGUGGUGAAGGAACUCGGCAAAUUACCCCCGUAACUUCGGGAUAAGGGGGGCCAAAUUACGUGUAGGGAUUUACUCCCGAAGCGUGAGUUGGCCGCAGAGACUAGGCUCAAGCGACUGUUUACCAAAAACACAGGUCCGUGCAAAUUCGUAAGAAGACG
This 1031-nucleotide ribosomal RNA is filed under the name Actinobacteria bacterium BACL2 MAG-120507-bin38. RNAcentral describes it as "bacterial LSU rRNA". It matches the Rfam family "Bacterial large subunit ribosomal RNA", at positions 938 to 1843 of the family's 2925-position model. Lineage: Bacteria; Bacillati; Actinomycetota; Actinomycetes. The record is from RNAcentral.